GACGAACGCUGGCGGCGUGCUUAACACAUGCAAGUCGAACGGAAAGGCCCUGCUUUUGUGGGGUGCUCGAGUGGCGAACGGGUGAGUAACACGUGAGUAACCUGCCCUUGACUUUGGGAUAACUUCAGGAAACUGGGGCUAAUACCGGAUAGGAGCUCCUGCUGCAUGGUGGGGGUUGGAAAGUUUCGGCGGUUGGGGAUGGACUCGCGGCUUAUCAGCUUGUUGGUGGGGUAGUGGCUUACCAAGGCUUUGACGGGUAGCCGGCCUGAGAGGGUGACCGGCCACAGUGGGACUGAGAUACGGCCCAGACUCCUACGGGAGGCAGCAGUGGGGAAUAUUGCACAAUGGGCGGAAGCCUGAUGCAGCAACGCCGCGUGCGGGAUGACGGCCCUCGGGUUGUAAACCGCUUUCGCCUGUGACGAAGCGUGAGUGACGGUAAUGGGUAAAGAAGCACCGGCUAACUACGUG
This 468-nucleotide ribosomal RNA is filed under the name uncultured bacterium. RNAcentral describes it as "partial 16S ribosomal RNA". It matches the Rfam family "Bacterial small subunit ribosomal RNA", at positions 28 to 507 of the family's 1533-position model. The record is from RNAcentral.